CCCUACGGGGGGCAGCAGUGGGGAAUUUUCCGCAAUGGGCGAAAGCCUGACGGAGCAAUCUCGCGUGAGGGAUGACGGCCUAUGGGUUGUAAACCUCUUUUUUCAGGGAGGAACAAAAUGACGUGUACCUGAAGAAUAAGCAUCGGCUAACUCCGUGCCAGCAGCCGCGGUAAGACGGAGGAUGCAAGUGUUAUCCGGAAUCACUGGGCGUAAAGCGUCUGUAGGUGGUUUGAUAAGUCAACUGUUAAAUCUUGAAGCUCAACUUCAAAAUCGCAGUCGAAACUAUUAGACUAGAGUAUAGUAGGGGUAAAGGGAAUUUCCAGUGGAGCGGUGAAAUGCGUAGAUAUUGGAAAGAACACCGAUGGCGAAGGCACUUUACUGGGCUAUUACUGACACUCAGAGACGAAAGCUAGGGUAGCAAAUGGGAUUAGAUACCCCUGUAGUCCG
Molecule: ribosomal RNA, 447 nt
Filed under: uncultured bacterium
Lineage: Bacteria
Description: bacterial SSU rRNA
Rfam family: Bacterial small subunit ribosomal RNA
Source: RNAcentral